CACGUAGGGCGCGAGCGUUUGUCCGGAAUUAUUGGGCGUAAAGAGCUCGUAGGCGGCCUGUUGCGUCCGCUGUGAAAGCCCGGGGCUUAACCCCGGGUCGGCAGUGGAUACGGGCAGGCUAGAGGUAGGUAGGGGAGAAUGGAAUUCCCGGUGUAGCGGUGAAAUGCGCAGAUAUCGGGAGGAACACCGGUGGCGAAGGCGGGUCUCUGGGCCGAUACUGACGCUGAGGAGCGAAAGCGUGGGGAGCAAACAGG
RNAcentral lists this ribosomal RNA (254 nucleotides) under uncultured bacterium. Its description in RNAcentral is "partial 16S ribosomal RNA". It matches the Rfam family "Bacterial small subunit ribosomal RNA", at positions 524 to 776 of the family's 1533-position model. The record is from RNAcentral.